GGUCUCAUGCCCUGCAUAGAUUACAAUUCCUACAACUUCUUCUGUAUUUCUAAUAGUACAUCCACGUAACAAAAGAUUUUCUUUGAACAGUCCAUCCUUUUUUCCACUUUUAUGUACAAUGGAACCUCGAAACCUACUUAAGUCGUUGUUAGGAUUCUCACAUUCAAUGACACUGGUGAACUUCAAGGGGUCAAAUUCUGAGUCCAGCUCUAAAAACC
This 218-nucleotide long non-coding RNA is filed under the name Gallus gallus (chicken). Lineage: Eukaryota; Metazoa; Chordata; Aves; Galliformes; Phasianidae. The record is from RNAcentral.